Molecule: ribosomal RNA, 503 nt
Filed under: uncultured bacterium
Lineage: Bacteria
Description: partial 16S ribosomal RNA
Rfam family: Bacterial small subunit ribosomal RNA
Source: RNAcentral
GAUGAACGCUAGCGGCAGGCUUAACACAUGCAAGUCGAGGGGCAGCACGGUGUAGCAAUACAUUGGUGGCGACCGGCGCACGGGUGCGUAACGCGUAUACAAUUUGCCUUAUACUGGGAGAUAGCCCGGAGAAAUUCGGAUUAAUAUCCCACAAUAAUUUUGGUCCGCAUGGAUUGAUUUUUAAAGCUACGGCGGUAUAAGAUGAGUAUGCGUCUGAUUAGCUAGUUGGUAAGGUAACGGCUUACCAAGGCAACGAUCAGUAGGGGGCCUGAGAGGGUUAUCCCCCACACUGGAACUGAGACACGGUCCAGACUCCUACGGGAGGCAGCAGUGAGGAAUAUUGGUCAAUGGAGGCAACUCUGAACCAGCCAUGCCGCGUGUAGGAAGAAGGCCCUAUGGGUUGUAAACUACUUUUAUUGGGGAAGAAACCCUCUUACGUGUAAGAGGCUGACGGUACCCAAGGAAUAAGGACCGGCUAACUCCGUGCCGGCCGCCGCCGUAAA